GACGAACGCUGGCGGCGUGCUUAACACAUGCAAGUCGAACGGAAAGGCCCUGCUUUUGUGGGGUGCUCGAGUGGCGAACGGGUGAGUAACACGUGAGUAACCUGCCCUUUACUUUGGGAUAACUUCAGGAAACUGGGGCUAAUACCGGAUAGGAGCUCCUGCUGCAUGGUGGGGGUUGGAAAGUUUCGGCGGUUGGGGAUGGACUCGCGGCUUAUCUGCUUGUUGGUGGGGUAGUGGCUUACCCAGGCUUUGACGGGUAGCCGGCCUGAGAGGGUGACCGGCCACAGUGGGACUGAGAUACGGGCCAGACUCCUACGGGAGGCAGCAGUGGGGAAUAUUGCACAAUGGGCGGAAGCCGGAUGCAGCAACGCCGCGUGCGGGAGGACGGCCUUCGGGUUGGAAACCGCUUUCGCGUGUGACGAAGCGUGAGUGACGGUAAUGGGUAAAGAAGCACCGGCUAACUACGUG
Molecule: ribosomal RNA, 468 nt
Filed under: uncultured bacterium
Lineage: Bacteria
Description: partial 16S ribosomal RNA
Rfam family: Bacterial small subunit ribosomal RNA
Source: RNAcentral